ACGGGUGAGUAUAACAUAGGAAUUUGCCUUCAGGUGGGGGGACAACUUGAGGAAACUCAAGCUAAUACCGCAUAUACCUUACGAGGGAAAGCAUGGGAUCUUUUAGACCAUGUGCCGGAAGAGAAGCCUAUGCCGGAUUAGCUAGUUGGUAGGGUAAAGGCCUACCAAGGCGAUGAUCCGUAGCUGGUCUGAGAGGAUGAUCAGCCACACUGGGACUGAGACACGGCCCAGACUCCUACGGGAGGCAGCAGUGGGGAAUAUUGGACAAUGGGCGCAAGCCUGAUCCAGCAAUGCCGCGUGUGUGAAGAAGGCCUGCGGGUUGUAAAGCACUUUCAGAGGGGAGGAAGGCAUUAGUUCUAAUAGGGCUGAUGAUUGACGUUACCUUCAGAAGAAGCACCGGCUAACUCUGUGCCAGCAGCCGCGGUAAUACAGAGGGUGCAAGCGUUAAUCGGAAUUACUGGGCGUAAAGGGUGUGUAGGUGGUAAGAUAAGUUAGGUGUGAAAUCCUCGGGCUUAACCUGAGAACUGCGCUUAAUACUGUCUAGCUAGAGUAUUGUAGAGGGCAGUGGAAUUUCC
RNAcentral lists this ribosomal RNA (575 nucleotides) under uncultured bacterium. Its description in RNAcentral is "bacterial SSU rRNA". It matches the Rfam family "Bacterial small subunit ribosomal RNA", at positions 102 to 671 of the family's 1533-position model. The record is from RNAcentral.